CUUGAAUCCCCUUCCACUCCCAUUCUCUCUUCAAACCCUAGACACCGCCAUACAAACUAACCCUAACCCCAUCGAUCCUCACCAGUUUCCAUGGCUUCUCAGGCCAUGAAACCCUCAUACUCACCUCCUAUGGCUCCUGCAUGCCUGUCGUUCGAUGGUUCGAGGCUAGACCUCGAGGUUCUUCACUCAAACCAUCACUGAUUCGAGGAUUCCAACCAUCUCCAGCCUUGCUCUGGUGGUUCUUGGUCUUUUGUGCCUGAUCAUGACAUUAUCUGACUUAGAUCAGAUAUUUUCGAUGCCUUUUUCAUCUCUAGGGUUUCCACUGAAACCCUAACUAUCGAGUUUCUUUCCGAUCAUUUUUAGAUUUGUUACAUGUUUGCACUAUUGCUUAAGUUUCUUAAACGUUUUCUCCGAUUUUCUUUCAAAAAUCACUUCCUCUCUAUUAGGGUUUCUAGAAAGUUCUUAAAAAAUGUUCUGACUCUUCUUCUUCUUUUCCUGAUAUGAAUCGAUCCUUUUCAAUGUUCUAAAGUUUCUUAAACGUUUUCUCCGAUUUUCUUUCAAAAAUGACUUCCUUUCGACUAGGGUUUCGGGAAGGUUCUUAAAAAAUGUUUCUAACUCUUCUUCUUCUUUUCCUGGUGUGAAUCAUCCUUACUAUGUUCUUAUUUACUAUUUUCUAACUCGCAUGCUCUUUCGUGUGUUCUUAUGUUUGUUGUAUUGUGAAGUUUUUCUAUUAUACUUCGUUUUGCCUCCUACUGGUUUCAAUACCAUGCUCUCACAUGCCUAUCGCAUGUGUUUCUCCACUGUGUUUUCCUACUGAGUUUUAGUCCUUCGGUUGCCCUUACCGGACUUUGCUUGGAUUCUUUCUAAGUGUUUUAUUGACUGUUUCUUUAAGUUUACACUGCCUGAACUUGUUUAAAUUUCAAGCUUUUUCUUGAAGCUUGUUUCCUGUACUAAUUUCUAUGUUCUAGUUGCUUUUGAACUUACUAUCAUACUUGUAUGCUUCUCAUGAGACUCUGAAAUAGGUCACUAAGCCUGAGCUUGCCUUUUCAUCUCUACUAAAAAACCCUAGGAUUUGGGGGAUUUCUUUGGGAAAUUUGGUUUUGUGUUUGGACAAGGAUUCUACUUUGAAACCUUGAAAUCUAAAACUCACUCCGAGCUUAUGACUUGAAUUUGAACUUUUUCUGGAUUUGUGAUUUGAAACCUUCUUGCUUGACAUGUCUAUGUGUUUAUAUACGAGAACUUCCCUUUCAAAAGUCUUGCCAACUGUUAAUUGAUUUUGAAUCCCCUUUAAUGUUGCUUAUUUGAUUGUUAUUGAUUUUCCCUAAAUUAAAGCUUUCCUUUACUCCUGAUUUGACUCUUUACAUGCUAUUUGCUGAUUCCCUUUCCUUGUUUUCACAAACCUAGUACCACUAUGUUUUUACCUUAAAUGUCUUUUAUGUAUUUACCUUUUAUUUGUCUGCUUUUCACGAGAUAUUUACUUUAUUUCCUUCCUUAAAUAACUU
This 1502-nucleotide long non-coding RNA is filed under the name Nicotiana benthamiana. Its description in RNAcentral is "long non-coding RNA (NBEN_LNC025277)". The record is from RNAcentral. Lineage: Eukaryota; Viridiplantae; Streptophyta; Magnoliopsida; Solanales; Solanaceae.